This 4694-nucleotide long non-coding RNA is filed under the name Triticum aestivum (bread wheat). Its description in RNAcentral is "long non-coding RNA (TAES_LNC024256)". The record is from RNAcentral. Lineage: Eukaryota; Viridiplantae; Streptophyta; Magnoliopsida; Poales; Poaceae.
CGCUUCAACUUGCAGGACAUGGGCUUCAGUCUGUUCGACUAAGUUGUGGGGCAUCUUGUGUCUGAAGUAUCUAUCCUUGGCCAGGAAACUAGAGUCAAUGAUGUUUUAGCCUUUAUUUAGCUGAGUUGUGAAACGCUGGCAAGACAAUGUUUUGAUAUGUAAUUCAGCCCCUGGUUGCUGGUUGAUUUACUGGUGAACCAUACCUUUGCUAUCCAAUUUUGGUGCUUUAACAAUGUUUUGAUAUGUUCUGCCUGUUCCAUGUAUCCUCAAUCGCUGCCUCAUUUUUCUGCUAGUCUUUUGGUGAACCUCUCUUUGUAAAUUGGCACAUCGUUGAGUGGUAAGUGCCAUGGUUGUUACAGCGCAACAAAUCUCAUUCCGACUGUACAUGGUCACUUGGUGAUUUGGUUACUGAGGUGUUUGAUUGUAGGAAGCUCCUUCCCUUACCGUCUAUUGCGGAGUAGGCCUGGUGAUUUGGUUACUGAGGUGUUUGAUUGUAGGAAGCUCCUUCCCUUGCCGUGGUCGCAGAGUAGGACCAAUGGCUCCUUCGCGCGUCAAGGACGAUAAGCUGCCACACAAAAUGUCGUGAGUCAUGACGUGCACCUUGACAUUCGAUUGUGUGUGUCUGUCAGUCCUAAUUUCGUGCGGCUAUACUCACAUUUGUAAUCGUUCGUGAAUGUAGGAUUAUCGGUCGGGGUUUUACACGAUGUUUUUAAGCUGUCAAAUUGUCAAAUUGUGAUUGGGCUAAGGGGAGGUUGGAGCCCCACCAACCCAAAAUCAGGGGGACAUCCAUGAGAAUCGAUCGCACAAUGAUUGGACCGUCCGACAUCCAUGAGAAUCGAUCGGUUCGUGAUAAAUUUGUAGUUACAAACACGUGCGAUGACUCCCUGCACGAAAUUAAGACUGACGGACGCAGCUCACGAUGAGAUGCUAGACGUGCCGAUCAACCUGAAAAUCAGGGGGACAUGUUUAAAUCAGGAGGACAUGUUUAGUUAGUGAGGAAGGAGCCUGUAGAAGUUUGUAAGACUCCGCGCGUCUAGCAUUGGUCGCACAAUGAUUGGACUGUCCGACAUCCAUGAGAAUCGAUCGGUUCGUAAUAAAUUUGUAGUUUAUCUCAUCGUGUGUUUUUCUCUUCCAACACUGCUCACGCGCGUUUCUGCUGGUGGAGUUUUGUUCAAGGAGGCCCGUAUUUUUGUGGGUUUAGAUUUUUCUCACUUGUAAUUUCUUUCUACUCUCAAACAUGUAAGGGCAUCCUACAGUUGGACUGGGCAAAUUUGGCCCCUCAAACAUUCGCGGAUGCGUUCGAUCAGUGUUCAGCGUGUCUGUUUUGACUCCUUAUUUGUUCGUCCACGUAGUCAUGUCCUUCCUUUUUUUUCCUAUAUGUCAAGGCACAUGCAUGUGAUUGAAGAAGAGAGAGAAAGAAAAGAAAUAAUAAAAGAAAAAUAUGCUUUGUGGUGGGCCAAAUCUUAUGUGACGGACGCAGGAUCAAUGACCGGACACGACCGGGCACUCCUCAUACUCAUCUCAGACAUAAGGGCAAUAUGAGGGGUGUCAGACAACCCACGCAUUUAUGGAGGCUUUGAGGGGUCCGAUUGGGUCAGCUUUUUUCUUCUCUCUCUCAUGUCCGAUCAGUGGUCCUGCGUCUGCCUGCUCAAUUUGGAGAGUUCGGCUGUAGAUGCUUGUAGUCAAGUAGGCCUGGGGGGAGGGGGUGAUUAGACUACUUAACCAAAUAAAAACCUAGUCUUUUUCCAAUUUUAGUUCUUGGCAAGUUUUAGCAAUUCUCACAAGUCGAGCAACACGCUACACAUGCAAGUCUAGAUAGUAGGCAUCAGAAAGUAAAGACUUUUCAUAUGAAUGCAACGGAGGAGUCGGAGAAAACCAAACGCAAUGAAGACAAUUUGCGUGGUUCCGAUAGGUGGUGCUAUCGUGCGUGCACGUUGAUGGAGACUUCAACCCACGAAGUGUCGGCUGCGUGAGUCCACGGAGGGCUCCACCCAUGAAGGGUCCACAAAGAAACAACCUUGUCUAUGCCAUCAUGGCUUCCGUCCACGAAGGACUAGCCUCACUCGGGGUAGAUCUUCAAGAAGCAGGUGAUCUCCUUGCCCUUACAAACUCCUUGGUUCUGUUGGAAAUAUGCCCUAGAGGCAAUAAUAAAGUUGUUAUUAUCAUAUUUCCUUGUUCUUGAUAAGUGUUUAUUCUCCAUGCUUUAAUUGUAUUGACGGGAGACUUAAAUACAUGUAUGGAUACAUAAACAAACACCGUGUCCCUAGUGAACCUCUACUAAAAUAGCUCGUUGAUUUAAAGACAAUUAAGAUUUUCUAACCAUGAACAUGAGUUGUCAUCUAAUAAAGAGAUCAUAUAUUUAGGAGAAUGAUGUGAUGAACAUACCCAAUCAUAAGCUUAGCAUCUGAUCGUGUCACUAAGUUCAAAUUGCCAUAGCUUUCUUAAUGUAAAGUAUCUAUUCCUUGGACCAUGAGAUCAUGCCACUCGCUAAUACCGGAAGAAUGCUUUGUGGGUAUCAAAUGUCACUUUGUAUGUGGGUGAUUAUAAAGGUGCUAUUCAGGUAUUUCGGAAGGUACUGGUGAUAUGGAUCGAGACUGGGAUUUGUCACUCCAUGUUCGGAGAGAUAUCUCUAGGCCCUCUCGGUAAUAAAACAUCCUAAGUAGCUUUCAAGCAUGUGACUAAUGUGUUUAGUCACAGGGAUAUUGUAUUAUAGAACGAUUAAAGAGAACUUGCCAGGUAACGAGAUUGAAUUAGGUAUGGUGAUACCAACGAUCGAAUUCCGUGCAAGUAAAAUAUCGCGAGACAAAGGGAAUGGAAUACAUGAUUGUUUCAAUCCUCAACAUUGUGGUUUAAACCGAUAAAGAUCUUCGUUGAAUAUGUGGGAUCCAUUAUGGGCAUCCAGGUCUCGCUAUUGAUUAUUGAUGGGAGAAGUUGUCUCGGUUCUCGAACCCGUAGGGUCACACACGUAACGUUCGGUAAUGCUAGGGUAGUAAUGAGAUAUUCAUAAUGGUGAGACCAAAGAUAGUUCAGAGUCUCAGAUAGGAUCCGGGAUAUCACGAGGAGCUUCGGAAUGGUCCAGAGAUAAAGUUUCAUGUAAGGAAAGUGGUGUUCAGGGUUCCAGAAAAUGUUCAGGAUUUUUUGGUAUUGUACCGGGAAGGUUCUUGAAGGUUCUGGAGUGGGGCUCACCUGCAUGGAGGGACCCACAUGGACAUGGGUAGUGGGGCACCAAGAUCCCCCCUAAAAGAAAUAGGAUUAUAUCCCGAAGGAAUAAGAUCAAGAUCCCUAAAAAGGGGAUCACGAUCGGCGGGGAAGGAAAGGAGGGGAUUUUCUCCCCCACUCCCUAGUGCGCAACCCUUAGGGGCUUGGAGGAGGGGACAAGCCUCCCCCCACGCCUAUAUAAAGGGGGGGAGUGAUACAUCUCCAACGUAUCUAUAAUUUUUGAUUGUUUCAUGCUAUUAUAUUAUCUAUUUUGGAUGUUUUAUGUGCAUUAAUAUGCUAUUUUAUAUUAUUUUUGGGACUAACCUAUUAACCCAGAACCCAGUGCAGUUUCUGUUUUUUUUCCUUGUUUUUGAGUUUGGCAGAAAAGGAAUAUCAAACGGAGUCCAAACGGAAUAAAACUUUACGAUGAUUUUUCUUGGACCAGAAGACACACGUAGGACUUGGAGACCAAGGAAAAGGAGUCCCGAAGCGACGGCAAGGGUGCAGGGCACGCACCAUGGGGGUGUGCCCCUGCCUUGUGGGUCCCUCGGAGCUCGUCUAACCCUAUUCUUCGCCUAUAAAUUCCCAAAUAUUCCCAAGACACCAGAAGCGUCCAUGAAAAAAUACUUUUCCUCUGUUCCCAUGAGAUCCCAUAUUCGGGCCUUUUCCGGCGAUCUGCCAGAGGGGGAUUCGAUCACGGAGGGCAUCUACAUCAACCCUAUUUCCCUUCCGAUGAAGCAUGAGUAGUUUACCUCAAAACUACGGGCCCAUAGCUAGUAGCUAGAUGGCUUCUUCUCUCUCUAUGAUCUUCAAUACCAAGUUCUCCUCGAUGUUAUUGGAGUUCUAUCCGAUGUAUUCUUUUGCGAUGUGUUUGUCGAGAUCCGAUGAAUUGUGGAUUUAUGAUCAGAUUAUCUAUGAAUAUUAUUUGAAUCUUCUCUGAAUUCUUAUAUGCAUGAUUUGAUAUCUUUUGUAUUUCUCUUCGAAUUAUUGGUUUGGUUUGGCCAACUAGAUUGGUAUUUCUUGCAAUGGGAGAGGUGCUUAGUUUUGGGUUCAAUCUUGCAGUGUCCUCACCCAGUGACAAAGUAGGGGUAGCGAGGCACGUAUUUGUAUUGUUUUCAUCAAGGAUAAAAAGGUGGGGGUUUCAUCAUAUUGCUUGAGUUUAUCCCUUUGCAUCAUGCCAUCUUACUUAAUGCGUUACUCUGUUCUCUUGAACUUAAUACUCUAGAUGCAGGCAGGAGUCGGCCGAUGUGUGGAGUAAUAGUAGUAGAUGCAGAAUCGCUUCGGUCUACUUGACACGGACGUGAUGCCUAUAUGCAUAAUCAUUGCCUUGGAUAUCGUCAUAACUUUGCGCUUUUUCUAUCAAUUGCUCGACAGUAAUUUGUUCACCCACCGUAUUAUUUGCCUUCAAGAGAGAAGCCUCUAGUGAAACCUAUGGUCCCCGGGUCUAUUUUCCCUUAUAUAUUUUCAGAUCUAUAAACCAAAAAAACCAAAAAAAU